GCACUACGGUGCUGAAGCGACAAAUGCCCUGCUUCCAGGAAAAGCCUCUAAGCAUCAGGUAACAUCAAAUCGUACCCCAAACCGACACAGGUGGUCAGGUAGAGAAUACCAAGGCGCUUGAGAGAACUCGGGUGAAGGAACUAGGCAAAAUGGUGCCGUAACUUCGGGAGAAGGCACGCUGAUAUGUAGGUGAAGCGACUUGCUCGUGGAGCUGAAAUCAGUCGAAGAUACCAGCUGGCUGCAACUGUUUAUUAAAAACACAGCACUGUGCAAACACGAAAGUGGACGUAUACGGUGUGACGCCUGCCCGGUGCCGGAAGGUUAAUUGAUGGGGUUAGCGGCAACGCGAAGCUCUUGAUCGAAGCCCCGGUAAACGGCGGCCGUAACUAUAACGGUCCUAAGGUAGCGAAAUUCCUUGUCGGGUAAGUUCCGACCUGCACGAAUGGCGUAAUGAUGGCCAGGCUGUCUCCACCCGAGACUCAGUGAAAUUGAACUCGCUGUGAAGAUGCAGUGUACCCGCGGCAAGACGGAAAGACCCCGUGAACCUUUACUAUAGCUUGACACUGAACAUUGAGCCUUGAUGUGUAGGAUAGGUGGGAGGCUUUGAAGUGUGGACGCCAGUCUGCAUGGAGCCGACCUUGAAAUACCACCCUUUAAUGUUUGAUGUUCUAACGUUGGCCCGUAAUCCGGGUUGCGGACAGUGUCUGGUGGGUAGUUUGACUGGGGCGGUCUCCUCCUAAAGAGUAACGGAGGAGCACGAAGGUUGGCUAAUCCUGGUCGGACAUCAGGAGGUUAGUGCAAUGGCAUAAGCCAGCUUGACUGCGAGCGUGACGGCGCGAGCAGGUGCGAAAGCAGGUCAUAGUGAUCCGGUGGUUCUGAAUGGAAGGGCCAUCGCUCAACGGAUAAAAGGUACUCCGGGGAUAACAGGCUGAUACCGCCCAAGAGUUCAUAUCGACGGCGGUGUUUGGCACCUCGAUGUCGGCUCAUCACAUCCUGGGGCUGAAGUAGGUCCCAAGGGUAUGGCUGUUCGCCAUUUAAAGUGGUACGCGAGCUGGGUUUAGAACGUCGUGAGACAGUUCGGUCCCUAUCUGCCGUGGGCGCUGGAGAACUGAGGGGGGCUGCUCCUAGUACGAGAGGACCGGAGUGGACGCAUCACUGGUGUUCGGGUUGUCAUGCCAAUGGCACUGCCCGGUAGCUAAAUGCGGAAGAGAUAAGUGCUGAAAGCAUCUAAGCACGAAACUUGCCCCGAGAUGAGUUCUCCCUGAGACUUAGAGUCUCCUGAAGGAACGUUGAAGACGACGACGUUGAUAGGCCGGGUGUGUAAGCGCAGCGAUGCGUUGAGCUAACCGGUACUAAUGAACCGUGAGGCUUAACCUU
RNAcentral lists this ribosomal RNA (1377 nucleotides) under Escherichia coli. RNAcentral's name for it is "partial 23S ribosomal RNA". It matches the Rfam family "Bacterial large subunit ribosomal RNA", at positions 1574 to 2925 of the family's 2925-position model. The record is from RNAcentral. RNAcentral also lists the same sequence under 1 other name. Lineage: Bacteria; Pseudomonadati; Pseudomonadota; Gammaproteobacteria; Enterobacterales; Enterobacteriaceae.